CGCACCUUGCGCUUUUGGGUCAUUCCUGGAAGCAUGCUUGUUUGAGUGUCGCGUACCCUCUCAACCCCGCCCUUUUCACGAAGAGUAGCCCAGGGUUGGAUCAUGGCGCCUUUGCCGCUUGACUCUCUCAAGCGGCUGCGCUGAAUUGCAAUCAAGCUGUAUCUUUGCCAAGCGACCGGCGGCUUGACCCGUUGUCAUAAGACUUUCAAUGGGGACGCCAACCGCUUACCUUUUAAAGAACGAGCUUACCAAAAAUUUGAAUUUAUCGCAUUGACCUCAAAUCAAGUAGGACUACCCGCUGAACUUAA
This 308-nucleotide unclassified non-coding RNA is filed under the name Cystobasidiopsis lactophilus. RNAcentral describes it as "partial contains 5.8S ribosomal RNA, internal transcribed spacer 2, and large subunit ribosomal RNA". Lineage: Eukaryota; Fungi; Basidiomycota; Agaricostilbomycetes; Agaricostilbales; Chionosphaeraceae. The record is from RNAcentral.